UAGGGAAUCUUCCGCAAUGGGCGAAAGCCUGACGGAGCAACGCCGCGUGAGUGAUGAAGGUUUUCGGAUCGUAAAGCUCUGUUGCCAGGGAAGAACGUCGGGUAGAGUAACUGCUACCCGAGUGACGGUACCUGAGAAGAAAGCCCCGGCUAACUACGUGCCAGCAGCCGCGGUAAUACGUAGGGGGCAAGCGUUGUCCGGAAUUAUUGGGCGUAAAGCGCGCGCAGGCGGUCAUUUAAGUCUGGUGUUUAAGGCUAGGGCUCAACUCUAGUUCGCACUGGAAACUGGGUGACUUGAGUGCAGAAGAGGAAAGUGGAAUUCCACGUGUAGCGGUGAAAUGCGUAGAGAUGUGGAGGAACACCAGUGGCGAAGGCGACUUUCUGGGCUGUAACUGACGCUGAGGCGCGAAAGCGUGGGGAGCAAACAGG
Molecule: ribosomal RNA, 428 nt
Filed under: Bacillota bacterium
Lineage: Bacteria; Bacillati; Bacillota
Description: Firmicutes bacterium partial 16S ribosomal RNA
Rfam family: Bacterial small subunit ribosomal RNA
Source: RNAcentral